GGCAACCCAAAGGAAGAUUUAAUCAACAUGCAUCCAACAGCAUAUUCCGAGUCAGGUCCUAAGAAAGUCUUAACUAAUGGAAUGAACCCUGAAAUCGUAGCAACAAUGGCGUUCGACAAAAAGACAAAAAAACUGACUAUGGCUGAGUUACCAAUAUACUCUAGAAUGAUUGUAUAUUAUAAUUCCAUGAUAUCCCUAUGGAUAUUGAUUGCACAAUAAUC
This 221-nucleotide long non-coding RNA is filed under the name Mytilus galloprovincialis (Mediterranean mussel). The record is from RNAcentral. Lineage: Eukaryota; Metazoa; Mollusca; Bivalvia; Mytilida; Mytilidae.